CUGGGGAGUGAUAAGCGAUUAUGACGAACUCAUGGAUCCCACACUGCCUAGAAAAACUUCUAGCGAGACGAAAUCCGCCCGUACCGUANACCGACACAGGUAGGCGGGGAGAGAAUCCUAAGGUGCGCGGGAAAACCCUCGUUAAGGAACUCGGCAAAUUGCAUCCGUAACUUCGGGAGAAGGAUGGCCCUGAGUAGGCGAAGUGCAGAAACGCACAGAACAAAAAAGGGUGGCAGAAAAGAGGCCCAAGCAACUGUUUACCAAAAACACAGGUGCCUGCGAAAGCGAAAGCUGAAGUAUAGGUGCUGACGCCUGCCCGGUGCUGGAAGGUUAAGGAGAGAGGUUAGCGCAAGCGAAGCUUUGAACUGAAGCCCCAGUGAACGGCGGCCGUAACUAAAACGGUCCUAAGGUAGCGAAAUUCCUUGUCGGGUAAGUUCCGACCCGCAUGAAAGGCGUAAUGAUUUGGGCGCUGUCUCAACGAGGGGCCCGGUGAAAUUGAAAUACCUGUGAAGAUGCAGGUUACCCGCGACUGGACAGAAAGACCCCAUGGAGCUUUACUGCAGCUUGAGAUUGAAUCCCGGUGGCAGACGCACAGGAUAGGUGGGAGGCUUUGAGAUAGUGACUUUGGUUGCUAUGGAGCCGACGUUGGGAUACCACCCUUCUGUUGCUGGGAUUCUAACGCGAAGAUUAACAACCUUGCGGACCAUCUCAGGUAGGCGGUUUGACUGGGGCGGUCGCCUCCGAAAGAGUAACGGAGGCGCCCAAAGGUUCCCUCAGGCCGGACAGAAACCGGCCGAAGAGUGCAAAGGCAGAAGGGAGCUUGACUGCGAGACAGACAAGUCGAGCAGAGACGAAAGUCGGGCUUAGUGAUCCGGUGGUACUGCGUGGAAAGGCCAUCGCUCAACGGAUAAAAGCUACCCUGGGGAUAACAGGCUAAUCUCUCCCAAGAGUUCAUAUCGACGGGGAGGUUUGGCACCUCGAUGUCGGCUCAUCACAUCCUGGAGCUGGAGUAGGUUCCAAGGGUUGGGCUGUUCGCCCAUUAAAGUGGUACGCGAGCUGGGUUCAAAACGUCGUGAGACAGUUUGGUUCAUAUCCAUCGCGGGCGCAAGAAGUUUGAGGGAGGCUGCUCCUAGUACGAGAGGACCGGAGUGGACGGAUCAACGGUGUACCAGUUGUCACGCCAGUGGCACGGCUGGAAAGCCGCAUCCGGAAAGGAUAAACGCUGAAAGCAUCUAAGCGUGAAGCCCGUCCCAAGAUGAGACUUCUCAUCAGCAAUGAGUAAGACCCCUUAAAGACGAUGAGGUUGAUAGGCUGUGAGUGGAAGAGCCGCGAGGCUUGGAGCGACGCAGUACUAAUAGGUCGAGGUCUUAACUUA
Molecule: ribosomal RNA, 1375 nt
Filed under: human gut metagenome
Description: bacterial LSU rRNA
Rfam family: Bacterial large subunit ribosomal RNA
Source: RNAcentral